RNAcentral lists this long non-coding RNA (243 nucleotides) under Oryctolagus cuniculus (rabbit). Its description in RNAcentral is "lncRNA (ENSOCUG00000035466.1)". The record is from RNAcentral. Lineage: Eukaryota; Metazoa; Chordata; Mammalia; Lagomorpha; Leporidae.
ACAAGGCCUAACAUGGAGAGCUGGGGUGGACUCUGCACUGCCCACCUCCAUAGCCCUAGAGACAUGCUCUGGAGAAGAUCAUGAUCAGCUGUACCUUGAGGAUGACCUGGAUCGAGAGGAAUGGAUGAAGAAUGACUUGUUGGCAAACACUACUUUCUUGGCCUUAGGGGCUUAGGUCUGUUUUGCUUUCCAAAUAUUCUUUUUAAUUUGCUUUGUUGCACUUUAAUAAUUCCUGUCUUGUCC